Molecule: long non-coding RNA, 3954 nt
Filed under: Olea europaea subsp. europaea
Lineage: Eukaryota; Viridiplantae; Streptophyta; Magnoliopsida; Lamiales; Oleaceae
Source: RNAcentral
GGAAAAGAUUUUAUUUCCUUUACCCACUUUUUAGUCAAAUGCGUGGGUCUUUAUAUACAAGAAAAAUAUAACAAACUACUGCUAACAACCUCCUACCAGAUUGGAGUAAUAGGCUCUUUUAUUGACACAUAUUUAACUGAUUCAGUCAAACCAGAAAUAAUAGGAACCGAGAAAUUCUACUGACUUAUUCAAUAAUAAAACAGGAAACUAACUAAAACUAAAAACUAGUUCAGCAAGUAUGCACUAAUUUGUUAUACUCCCCAUUAGUGCAUAAUUAGGAUCAACAACUCCAAGAGCAGCUCUAAAUAUUUCAAAUUUAGGCUUAGGCAACGGUUUUGUAAAUAUAUUUGCAACUUGAUCUUCAGUAUGGACUUCUUUUAACUCGAUCUCUUGAUUAAGCACUUUCUCCCGAAUGAAGUGAUGGCAGACAUCAAUAUGUUUUGUUCUUCUGUGAAAAACUGGGUUUAAAGCAAGCUUAAUUGCACUUUCAUUAUCACAGUGAAUCGGCACUAGAUAAUUUACCUUUAAAAAAAUGUCUCCCAUUAGAUAUCUUAACCACAUGCAUUCUUGUGCAGCCAUUGUUGCUGCCAUAUACUCUGCUUCAGUGCUAGACAAAGCAAUAGUGGCUUGCUUCUUACUACACCAAGAAACAACCACUGACCCCAUGCUGAAAUAAUAACCUGAAAUGGAUCGACGAUCAAUUUCAUCUCUUUCCCAAUUUGCAUCAGAGAACCCUGUCAACAGAAAUUUAUUCUCCGUAGUAUACAGUAAGCCAUAAGCAAGAGAGCCUUUUAUGUAUCGUAGAAUUAUUUUGGCUGCAGUAAGAUGAGAUGUUCUUGAAUUUUGCAUGAACUGAGAGAUGAUACUCACUGAGUAUGAGAUCUCUGGCCUUGUUAUAGUUAAAUAGAUCAAACUACCAAUAAGUUAUCUAAAUCUUCUAGUAUCCUUCACUGGGUCUCCUUCUUCUUUCUUUAACUUCAUAUGAGUUUCCAUAGGAGUAGUUGUUACUCUUGACUCCCCCAAGCCAAAACAAACCAAAAGAUUCUUUGCAUAUCUGCUUUGAGAAAUAAAGUAGCCCCGAUCAAGUUUCAGCACUUCUAAGCCAAGAAAGCACUCAACCUCACCCAGAUUUUUCAUUUCAAACCGAAUUGAAAUAUCAUCUCUUAGCUGGGAAAUUUCCUCCACAUUGUCUCCAGUUAUUAUUAUGUCGUCAACAUAUAAUAAUGCUAACAACCGCAAAUCUGAUUCCAGUUUUACAAAUAAGCUAGAAUCUGCAUCAGCAACUUUAAAGCCACAAAAAAUAAAAUAUUGAGCAACCUUUCCAUACCAUGCACGUGGUGCUUGUUUGAGACCAUAUAGCGCCUUCUUCAACCGACAAACAUAAUUAGGAAAUUGUUUUGAUAUGAAUCCUUGUGGUUGCUCCAUUAUUACCUCUCGAUCUAACUCGCCGUAGAGGAAUGCAUUUUUGACGUCGAGUUGCCAAAUUUUCCAGUUUCUAUGAGCGGCAAGUGAGAAGAUGGACCUUACUGUAACCAUCUUUGCUACUGGGCUAAAAGCCUCUUCAUAAUCUAAUCCAUAGGAUUGAGAAAGGCCACGAGCAACAAGGCAUGCCUUGUAUCUGUCAAUCGUGCCAUCUAACUUUUUUCUUCAAGCGAUAAACCCAUUUGCAAGUGACUGGUUUACACUUUUAUGGUUUAGGUAUAAGCUCCCAUGUUUCAUUUUUAUGUAGAGCAUCAAUUUCCUCUUGCAUUGCUUUUUGCCAUUCUGGAUAGUCUUUAGUUUCUUCAUAGCUUGUUGGUUCGUCUUCACAUAGUGCUCCAAGAAAGAAAGCUGUGGUUACAGUACAAUGAUUGAGAUAAACUUCAUAGUCUUUUAAAUGUUCUGGCGGUUUUGAUUGCCUAGUAGAUCUUCUAAUUUCCUGCUCAUCUUCGUCUGAACUUUGAGUAUUCUGCCUUAACAAUUCUUCAUCACUUUGAUAAUUGGAGUCGUUGCAGGGUACUUGCACGUUGGUUUGAGAAGACAACUCCAAGUUGUCUUGAUUAUCAUAGAAAGCAUCACUCAUGACAGUUGAUUUCUGAUCAGAAUUCCAAGAAGACACUUCAUCAAACACAACAUCUCUAGAAGUGACAAAUUUCUUUGUCUUUGGAUCCAUGCACUUCCACCCUUUUCUAUUUGAGUCAUAGCCGACAAAUAUGCAUUUCUUGGCUUUUGGGUCUAGCUUGGUUCGACUUGCUUUAGGGAUGUGAACAUAGCAAGUAGAACCAAAUACUCGAAGGUAAUCUACAUUUGGCUUUUCCUUGUACAAAGUUUCAAAAGGAGCUUUUUCUUUACCUGGCCAUGGAGGUAGUCGAUUGAUCACAUGGCACGCACACUGAACUGCUUUUGCCCAAAGUUCCUCUAGGAAGAUUCUUGUCAUGCAACCAAGAGAGGCUUGUUGAAGUGAGAUGAGCUAACUUUCUCUCUGCAACUCCAUUUUGCUGCGGAGUAUUCGGACAAGUCAUUUGCUGUCUAAUGCCAUUGCUAUCACAAUAUUUAAAGAAUUCUUCUGACAUGAAUUCCCCACCAUUAUUAGUUCUCAGGCAGCCUAUUUUCUCCCCGAACUCUCCUUUUGUAGUGCUGUUAAAAUCAACAAAUUUGCUUAAUGCUUCAUUCUUUUCCUUCAAGAAGUACACCCAAGCGUACUUGGAAUAUUCAUCGACCAAAACCAUAGCAUUGUGAUAACCACUGUAGCUUGGUGUUUUUGUUGGUCCCAUCAAAUCAGCGUGAAUUAGCUCAAAUGGUCUUGAUCUAUGAUUUGAUGAGCUCUUGAAAAGUAGACAAUGUGAUUUUCCGUAUUGACAUCCUUGACAAAUCACAUCCUCAUGUACAUUCUUGAGAGCUGAUAUUCCAUUUAGCAACCUUUUUGAUGAGAUCAACUGCAACAUUUGAUAGCCAACAUGACCGAGUCCAGCAUGCCAAAUGUUUGAGUUGUCAAUCUGACUUGUUUUCUUUACAUAUGCCUCUCCUACUGACAUUACAAAUAGAGAAUCCUUCUUUUCACCGACAAGCACGACAUCAGCUACAAUAUUCUUUAAAUUGUCAAGAAUUUUCACAUCAUUAGGACCGAACAGAACAUAUUUCCCAGAAUGUGUAAUUUGAGAUACAGAAACCAAAUUCUUCUUCAAACCUGGUACGUGGUAAACGUCAUUUAACCUCACAUUUGAAUUAGGAGCACCAAUCUUCACAACUCCUUCUUUCACUACUGGAUAAGUUGAGUUGUCUGCUAUGAUGAUAACUCGUUCUCCAUUAUGUUGCCGAAGCUCUGAAAAUAAUAAGUCAUUCCCAGUAACAUGAUGAGAGCAACUAGAAUCAAUAAUCCAUUCAUCUUUGUAAUUGACAUAGUUAACUGGUGUUUUAUGUUCUUCAGGUUUGAGAGUUUUUCUGCUCAUUUCUACUGCCUAUGUAGUGAAACAUUGCUCCCAAUUGAGAUGAUCAUCUUCUUCAUCUUCACAAACAAGAUUGGCUUUAGAUAGCUUCACUCGACAAUCUUUCUUGAUAUGCCCAAUCUUUCCGCACCUGUAGCAUCUGAUGGGUUUAUUACUUUGCAAAGUGUCACCUAUCUUCUUCCUAUUUGUGUUAUCAUUUGAGCUUUUAUCCCUUUCUCUUGAGACCAGAAUUGCAUCAUGUUUUGAAUUGAAGUUCUUGCUCAUUUGAUUUGCCAAAGUCUCCUGGUUAGAAAGCAAAUUUUCUAGUUCUUCAACAGUUGGUUGAGUUGCCCAUCCUUGAAUGGAAGUGACAAACGGCAAGUAUUCCUUUUUCAAUCCAUGAAUAGUGAAUCGAAGCAGGCGAGCUUCACUAAUAUUCUCACUUGCGUCCAGUUCUGAAAUUUCAGCACAUAUACUUUUGACCCGCAAAAAAUAUUCUGCAAUUGUCAUAUUGCCUUGAAUCGUCAUCGCCAAAUCAUUUUCCAAGUAC